UGGGGAAUAUUGGACAAUGGGCGAAAGCCUGAUCCAGCCAUGCCGCGUGUGUGCAGAAGGUCUUCGGAUUGUAAAGCACUUUAAGUUGGGAGGAAGGGCAGUAAGCGAAUACCUUGCUGUUUUGACGUUACCGACAGAAUAAGCACCGGCUAACUCUGUGCCAGCAGCCGCGGUAAUACAGAGGGUGCAAGCGUUAAUCGGAAUUACUGGGCGUAAAGCGCGCGUAGGUGGUUCGUUAAGUUGAAUGUGAAAGCCCCGGGCUCAACCUGGGAACUGCAUCCAAAACUGGCGAGCUAGAGUAGGGCAGAGGGUGGUGGAAUUUCCUGUGUAGCGGUGAAAUGCGUAGAUAUAGGAAGGAACACCAGUGGCGAAGGCGACCACCUGGGCUCAUACUGACACUGAGGUGCGAAAGCGUGGGGAGCAAACAGG
RNAcentral lists this ribosomal RNA (429 nucleotides) under Pseudomonadota bacterium. Its description in RNAcentral is "Proteobacteria bacterium partial 16S ribosomal RNA". It matches the Rfam family "Bacterial small subunit ribosomal RNA", at positions 355 to 776 of the family's 1533-position model. Lineage: Bacteria; Pseudomonadati; Pseudomonadota. The record is from RNAcentral.